CCUACGGGGGGCAGCAGUAGGGAAUCUUUCACAAUGGGCGAAAGCCUGAUGGAGCAACGCCGCGUGCAGGAUGAAGGCCUUCGGGUUGUAAACUGUUUUUAUAAGCGAGAAAUAUGAUGGUAACUUAUGAAUAAGGAUCGGCUAACUACGUGCCAGCAGCCGCGGUCAUACGUAGGAUCCGAGCAUUAUCCGGAGUGACUGGGUGUAAAGAGUUGCGUAGGUGGCAUAAUAAGUAGCUAGUGAAAUCUGGUGGCUCAACCAUUCAGACUAUUAGCUAAACUGUUAAGCUCGAGACCGUUAGGGGUAACUGGAAUUUCUAGUGUAGGAGUGAAAUCCGUAGAUAUUAGAAGGAACACCAAUAGCGUAGGCAGGUUGCUGGGACGGUUCUGACACUAAGGCACGAAAGCGUAGGGAGCAAACGGGAUUAGAUACCCCUGUAGUC
Molecule: ribosomal RNA, 442 nt
Filed under: uncultured bacterium
Lineage: Bacteria
Description: partial 16S ribosomal RNA
Rfam family: Bacterial small subunit ribosomal RNA
Source: RNAcentral